UUCCAUUAAUCAGAGAUACAUGUCAUUUACCCAUUAUUCUGAUCUAUCUGAAAACACUUUGAACCUGUGAUCCUGAACAUGUCACUACAUUCAUACACAUAUCAUUGCAUCUGCAAUCAUCAUUCAUUGCAUAUCAUUUUUCAGCACAAAAUAUAUACAAAAAAAAAACUCAUCCAUCCUUCGGCCAUAACCUGCAGUUGAUUUCCCGACACUAAUAUCAGAC
RNAcentral lists this long non-coding RNA (223 nucleotides) under Lathyrus oleraceus (garden pea). RNAcentral's name for it is "Pisum sativum (pea) long non-coding RNA (PSAT_LNC001512)". The record is from RNAcentral. Lineage: Eukaryota; Viridiplantae; Streptophyta; Magnoliopsida; Fabales; Fabaceae.